Long non-coding RNA from Rhipicephalus sanguineus (brown dog tick), 1490 nucleotides. RefSeq lists it as uncharacterized. The record is from RefSeq and is a predicted model, not a curated record. NCBI's taxonomy places the organism in Eukaryota, Metazoa, Arthropoda, Arachnida, Ixodida, Ixodidae. The transcript is spliced from 4 exons.
ACGGUACACUUGCGAAGUUCGCAGGGCAUUCUAAGUGGAGGAUAUACCGUCAGGUUCUAACUGAGUUAAACGAAGUAACAGCGCAAAUGCCGGUCAAACCACAACCGGACGACUUGUGCCGUCGUAGUAGUCACAGCAUGUUUUCAGGGGACGCUAUACCAUGGAUAAGUAAAACUACCGGCGAAUAAUUGUCUCCGCGCUGAGUGCCGGCGCUCGUCGCUUGACGGCCUGCCGCUCGCGAAAGCAAACUGCAUGCCGGUCAAACCACAACCGGACGACUUGUGCCGUCGUAGUAGUCACAGCUGCCUGUUUUCAGGGGAGGCUAUACCAUGGAUAAGUAAAACUACCGGCAAAUAAUUGUCUCCGCGCUAAGUGCCGGCGCUCGUCGCUUGACGGCCGGCCGCUCGCGAAAGCAAACUGCCGGUCAAACCACAACCAGACAACUCUGUUGCCGUCACGGCGUGCGUUUUCAGACGUGGCGACGGCGUGGGUCUAAAUGCUGGCACUCUUUGCUUGACGGCCGCUCGCGAAAUGAAACUCGCAAAUACCGGUGCGCUAAGUGCCAGCGCUCUUGACGGCCGGCCGCAAAAGCAAACUGCCGGCCAAACCAGAACCGGACAACUGUUGCCGUCACGGCGUGCGUUUUCGGAUGUGGCGACGGCGUGGGUAAGUCAAACUACCGGCAUAUAAUUGUUCUCUCACUAAAUGCCGGCAUCUUCGCUUGACGGCCACUCGCGAAAUGACACUCGGCAAAUACACCCGUGCCGGCAAAGCGCUUUUUGCCUCAGGAUUCCGGCAUUAACCACGUGACUACAGCCGGCCAAUGAGGAGACACUGCCGGCCAAGUUCCGCUCGCGCAAUUCAGCCGGAUGCCGGGCGAAUAUCCACUCCCUACAUGUUUAUCGUGUAUUGUGUGCGUUUAUUGCGUGCUUAUCGUACGCGACAUUCGUCGACUGGGCAUUUUCCGCGUGUUGGGGCGUUCUCCUGCCUUGAUCCAGUGGCGGAUGAUGGUCGUUGUUCGUUGCCGCUCAACACAGCCUCACGGGACGCGCAGCUUUGUGUCCGCGCUCAAAAGUGCUUUCUUGCUUCGUUCAUCGACUACUCACGUUGAUCGAGUGAUCGAGUGUACUUCCGAAGACAAUCCGCGUCCGAGUGUUUUGACAAGCGGCGACCGCGGUUCCAUAGGAGCGGAAGCUUGAGCCUUUUGACGAGCGACUGUGAAGAGUGCCAAUGCCAAACUUGGGAACCGUCGUGUUGGCACAGCGAGGAUGAUCAACCAGAUACCCGAUAGGCAGCGAUGAGAGCUGUUCAUGGCACCGACACAGAGGACAGGUUGCAGUACAAGAUAGGAGCAUACUUCCUGCAAGCCCGGGCAAGCCAUAAUGAGUGGUUUCAAAUACAGCAACUGUACCACCACAACAGUGCAGCACAGGAGAGCCUAUCAUCAGUGCCGCGUCGAGAAAUUAAAUAAAAAAGCGCUUACUCCUGGA